Podarcis lilfordi (Lilford's wall lizard) is the source of this 73-nucleotide non-coding RNA. The record is from the annotation of a GenBank genome assembly. Lineage: Eukaryota; Metazoa; Chordata; Lepidosauria; Squamata; Lacertidae.
GCUUAUUACGCUCAGUUGGUAGAGCAUGAGAUUCUUAAUCACAGGGUCAUGGGUUCAAUUCCCACGUUGAGCA